GCAAGUCGAGCGGAAACGAUCCUAGUUUACUAGGAGGCGUCGAGCGGCGGACGGGUGAGUAACGCGUAGGAAUCUACCUAAUAGUUGGGGAUAGCCCGGGGAAACUCGGAUUAAUACCGAAUAAGAUCUACGGAUGAAAGGGGGCUUCGGCUCUCGCUAUUAGAUGAGCCUGCGUGAGAUUAGCUUGUUGGUGAGGUAAAAGCUUACCAAGGCGACGAUCUCUAGCUGGUCUGAGAGGAUGAUC
This 244-nucleotide ribosomal RNA is filed under the name uncultured bacterium. RNAcentral's name for it is "partial 16S ribosomal RNA". It matches the Rfam family "Bacterial small subunit ribosomal RNA", at positions 57 to 305 of the family's 1533-position model. The record is from RNAcentral.